UACGAAGGGUGCAAGCGUUACUCGGAAUUACUGGGCGUAAAGCGUGCGUAGGCGGUUUGUUAAGUCUGUCGUGAAAGCCCCGGGCUCAACCUGGGAAUGGCGAUGGAAACUGGCGAGCUAGAGUACGGUAGAGGAGAGUGGAAUUCCCGGUGUAGCAGUGAAAUGCGUAGAGAUCGGGAGGAACAUCAGUUGCGAAGGCGGCUCUCUGGACCAGUACUGACGCUGAGGCACGAAAGCGUGGGGAGCGAACAGG
Molecule: ribosomal RNA, 253 nt
Filed under: uncultured bacterium
Lineage: Bacteria
Description: partial 16S ribosomal RNA
Rfam family: Bacterial small subunit ribosomal RNA
Source: RNAcentral